ACAGAAAAGGAAGUUGUAGACACUUUCUUUCAAUUCGAAAGGGCUGACUUCCCGUAUUCCUUAACUGUAAAAUACUAUGUGAGAGCUUACUCAGACUAUUUCUUAACUGUAAAAUAUUGAUUUUAUCUCGGACAAUACCUUAGGCCGGAUUAUUCUAUCGACUACCUUAUUCACUCGAACUAUUCCUGAUUGGAAGAGUUUUGAGUAGCAAUUCCUUAUUCAAAUUAUCGUCUUAUAAGGAAGAGCAAUUCCAUCCCAGGGAAGGAAAAGUCGAAUUCCAUCUUUCUUUUUCCAGAGAGGACAAUUCCUUUUUACAGUAAUUCAUGUAAUUCCACCAAUUCCUUAUAAGAUGGUGCAUCUUAGGAAAAGGUAUUCCUUAUCUUAGGAAAAGGGGUAACACUCUUCUUCGGAAAGAGGACAAGACCUUAUUCCUUAACUUACCUGUGACAUUUUGAGGAGGAGAUCCGUAAGGUUACGGUUGCUAUUCUUAGUCUUGAAUUUCUACAAACUCAAAAAUUCUUUAUAUAAAAGGAAGAGGAAAAGGUAUAAAAGACAAUUCCGACAAUUCCUAGCAAAUUCCUUAGGUUAGACCAAUUCCUUAAUUGAAAGAGUGACAAUUCAAAACUAUAAUUCCAGAGUUGACUAUUUCAAAGUAAAUAAAAACUAUUCCAUCUUUCGUGCCAGUUGAGUGACAGUAUUCCUUACUAAAAUGGAAAGAGGACAAUUCCCACCUGUGACAAUUCCGCCACCAUUAUUUGGAAAUGGAAAGAGGAAAAGCCUUAUCUUUAAUGGAAAGAGGUAAUUCCUUAUUGUAUUCCUUAUGCCAAUUCCUUCUUCGGGACUAUUCCAUAAGAGUUACAAUUCCUUAUUCCUAGCAAAUUCUCAUGGAGCUUUUAGCGGAGAAAGGAUUUCCCUAUCGGAGAAUGAAAAGUUGUAAUUCCGUCCUUAACCUUACAGGAAAGGGGUGACUUCAUUUACCUUAUUCAAAUUCUCAUAGAGUUUUUAGUAAUUCCUUCUCCGGAGAGAAAGAUAGCUUCCGAGAACCUCCCUUGCUCUUAGCCCAGUACUGGAGGUCGAGUGGAACUAGUUUUUCGGAAGCAAAGGUGCCCGCCCGCCACACUCCCCUUUCUCCUGUUCCAUUGCAAAAUCAGGGCCUCGCCUUACGUCUUCAGAUAGGGCAAUGAUAGAAUUUCUUCUACCGUGCAACAAGACUACAAAUGCAAAUUUCAAACUCGCCUUUGUUUGCUCUCUUCAUCGUCAGAGUGCCCCGCCCCGGGGCGUUGGGCACGAUGUGACCCAACUUCCACAUAAUGGAUGCCGACUCCCCAAAN
RNAcentral lists this long non-coding RNA (1331 nucleotides) under Phoenix dactylifera (date palm). RNAcentral's name for it is "long non-coding RNA (PDAC_LNC008201)". The record is from RNAcentral. Lineage: Eukaryota; Viridiplantae; Streptophyta; Magnoliopsida; Arecales; Arecaceae.